UCUCGGCCCUGCUGCACAAAGCGAUCGCAGCACUACGACAGUCAUAAGUCUAUGUUAAAUAUGGGAGUUACGAUCAUCUUUGCUCUUCGAUCGCUUUGUGAAAUUGGG
Molecule: long non-coding RNA, 108 nt
Organism: Haliotis rubra (blacklip abalone)
Lineage: Eukaryota; Metazoa; Mollusca; Gastropoda; Lepetellida; Haliotidae
Exons: 3
Source: RefSeq, a predicted model, not a curated record